UAUCUGAAAGUAUUUUGUCCCUGCUCUGACCAAGUGGCUGAGAUAAGUUUAUUUGAAUCUUAUCACAGCCUGCUUGGAUCAGUUCAGUGUCAAAUAUAAAC
Molecule: microRNA precursor, 101 nt
Filed under: Lottia gigantea (owl limpet)
Lineage: Eukaryota; Metazoa; Mollusca; Gastropoda; Lottiidae
Description: microRNA lgi-mir-2d precursor
Gene: lgi-mir-2d
Source: miRBase by way of RNAcentral